Molecule: ribosomal RNA, 468 nt
Filed under: uncultured bacterium
Lineage: Bacteria
Description: partial 16S ribosomal RNA
Rfam family: Bacterial small subunit ribosomal RNA
Source: RNAcentral
GACGAACGCUGGCGGCGUGCUUAACACAUGCAAGUCGAACGGAAAGGCCCUGCUUUUGUGGGGUGCUCGAGUGGCGAACGGGUGAGUAACACGUGAGUAACCUGCCCUUGACUUUGGGAUAACUUCAGGAAACUGGGGCUAAUACCGGAUAGGAGCUCCUGCUGCAUGUUGGGGGUUGGAAAGUUUCGGCGGUUGGGGAUGGACUCGCGGCUUAUCAGCUUGUUGGUGGGGUAGUGGCUUACCAAGGCUUUGACGGGUAGCCGGCCUGAGAGGGUGACCGGCCACAUUGGGACUGAGAUACGGCCCAGACUCAUACGGGAGGCAGCAGUGGGGAAUAUUGAAAAAUGGGCGGAAGCCUGAUGCAGCAACGCCGCGUGCGGGAUGACGGCCUUCGGGUUGUAAACCGCUUUCGCCUGUGACGAAGCGUGAGUGACGGUAAUGGGUAAAGAAGCACCGGCUAACUACGUG